GUCAGCCUGGGAGACUACAGCCUGGUUCUUAAAAGAAUCUCCCACCCCCACCCCAAGACCCACAGCCCUGGUACGAAUUUAGAAGACAUGAUGUCUACAGAGCUGGCUGCAGUAUCUCAGCAGUGUUACAGCUAAAGUCAACAGGGCAGGCAGCACCUGCAGAGCCAGAAAGCCAAGGAACAUCAGACAACGGGGCCAUUUAAGUUGAGGGUAGAAGCUCAAAAAACCACACAGGCUGACAGAUAACAGUGACAGGAAGACAGGAUGGCUGCAGGGUCCUGAGAAGCUUGGCCUCCAACCAAGCUGACA
This is a long non-coding RNA of Fukomys damarensis (Damara mole-rat), 309 nucleotides long. RefSeq lists it as uncharacterized. The record is from RefSeq and is a predicted model, not a curated record. The transcript has 3 exons. Lineage: Eukaryota; Metazoa; Chordata; Mammalia; Rodentia; Bathyergidae.